RNAcentral lists this unclassified non-coding RNA (654 nucleotides) under Hevea brasiliensis (rubber tree). Lineage: Eukaryota; Viridiplantae; Streptophyta; Magnoliopsida; Malpighiales; Euphorbiaceae. The record is from RNAcentral.
CCUGUUUCAGUUCUUGAAACUCCUUUCCCAGAUGAUCUAUCUUCAAGUUCUGAAUGCUUUGAGAGUCUCAGUGCUGACCUACAUGGACUUCGGAUGCAGCUUCAGCUACUCAAAUUGGAGUCGGAAGCAUAUGCAGAGGGUCCCAUACACAUCUCAAGCGAUGAAGAUGUUGAGGAUGGCUAUGUUGGAUUUUCAGAAGAGAAAGGAAUUGUUGAACAGAGCAGGGAACGUUCCUAUGUAGUUGAUGUACUACUAGAAUCGGGUAUUAAUAGUGCUGAUCCUGAUUCUUUCUUGGCGUCGUGGCACUGUCCAGAGUGCCCCGUGAAUCCCCUGGUAUUUGAAGGACUGGAGAAGAAGCAUUGCAAUCUCACUUCUUGGCCAAGGUCUGAAAGGAAGCUGCUAUUUGACCGCAUAAAUUCAUCUCUGCUCAUGAUUAACCAACAAUUUGCGGAUCCAUACUUGUGGGUGAGGCCUGCAACUGCGAUCAUUCCCAGGUGGAUUAAACAUGGACUUGAGGAUGGCAUCCACAAAUUGCUGGCAAGCCAAGAAAAGAAAGCAAAUAACAAUGCAGUGGAGAAGGUACUGGUAAUGGAUUCACAGUGGCUGGAUUUGAGAGGUGAAAUUGAUGUAGUUGGCAGGGAAAUUGAGAGACUG